GAUGAACGCUAGCUACAGGCUUAACACAUGCAAGUCGCGGGGCAGCAUGGGGGUUGCUUGCAAUCCCCGAUGGCGACCGGCGCACGGGUGAGUAACGCGUAUCCAACCUGCCCUUCACCACGGGAUAACCCGGCGAAAGUCGGACUAAUACCGUAUGUUGUCCAUUGACGGCAUCCGAUUUGGACGAAAGGUUUGGCGGUGAAGGAUGGGGAUGCGUCCGAUUAGCUGGACGGCGGGGUGACGGCCCACCGUGGCGACGAUCGGUAGGGGUUCUGAGAGGAAGGUCCCCCACACUGGAACUGAGACACGGGCCAGACUCCUACGGGAGGCAGCAGUGAGGAAUAUUGGUCAAUGGGCGUAAGCCUGAACCAGCCAAGUAGCGUGCAGGAUGACGGCGCUAGGGGUUGUAAACUGCUUUUAUGCGGGGAUAAAGUGGCCCACGUGUGGGUUUUUGCAGGUACCGCAUGAAUAAGGACCGGCUAAUUCCGUG
RNAcentral lists this ribosomal RNA (490 nucleotides) under uncultured bacterium. Its description in RNAcentral is "partial 16S ribosomal RNA". It matches the Rfam family "Bacterial small subunit ribosomal RNA", at positions 28 to 507 of the family's 1533-position model. The record is from RNAcentral.